This 76-nucleotide transfer RNA is filed under the name Nitrospira sp. RNAcentral describes it as "tRNA-Asn". It matches the Rfam family "tRNA". Rfam says of the family: Transfer RNA (tRNA) molecules are approximately 80 nucleotides in length. Their secondary structure includes four short double-helical elements and three loops (D, anti-codon, and T loops). RNAcentral also lists the same sequence under 3 other names. The record is from RNAcentral. Lineage: Bacteria; Pseudomonadati; Nitrospirota; Nitrospiria; Nitrospirales; Nitrospiraceae.
UCCUCGGUAGCUCAGUUGGUAGAGCGGUCGGCUGUUAACCGAUUGGUCGCAAGUUCGAGUCUUGCCCGAGGAGCCA